GACGAACGCUGGCGGCGUGCUUCACACAUGCAAGUCGAACGAAGUGGCGAACGGGUGAGUAACGCGUAAUCAACCUGCCCUUCAGAGGGGGACAACAGUUGGAAACGACUGCUAAUACCGCAUACUGAAGGAGGGGAUUGCGUCUGAUUGGCUAGUUGGGGGGGUAAAGGCCUCCCAAGGCGAUGAUCAGUUGCCGGGUUGGGAGGAGGGACGGCCACAUUGGGACUGGAGAACGGCCCAAGCUCCUACGGGAGGCAGGAGGUGGGAAGCAUCGGCAAUGGAGGGAAGGCUGACGGAGCAACGCCGCUUGGGUGGUGACGGCCUUCGGGGUGUAAAGCUCUGUUAAUCGGGACGCGGUACCGGAAUAGAAAGCCACGGCUAACUCCGUGCCAGCAGCCGCGGUAAUUC
This 408-nucleotide ribosomal RNA is filed under the name uncultured bacterium. RNAcentral describes it as "partial 16S ribosomal RNA". It matches the Rfam family "Bacterial small subunit ribosomal RNA", at positions 28 to 526 of the family's 1533-position model. The record is from RNAcentral.